Molecule: ribosomal RNA, 468 nt
Filed under: uncultured bacterium
Lineage: Bacteria
Description: partial 16S ribosomal RNA
Rfam family: Bacterial small subunit ribosomal RNA
Source: RNAcentral
GAUGAACGCUGGCGGCGUGCUUAACACAUGCAAGUCGAACGAAAAGGCCCUGCUUUUGUGGGGUGCUCGAGUGGCGAACGGGUGAGUAACACGUGAGUAACCUCCACCUGACUUUGGGAUAACUUCAGGAAACUGGGGCUAAUAUCGGAUAGGAGCUCCUGCUCCGUGGUGGUGGUUGGAAAGUUUUGGCGGUUGGGGAUGGUCUCGCGGGUUAUGAGCUUGUUGGUGGGGUAGUGGCUUACAAAGCCUGUGAAGGGUAGGCGACCUGAGAGGGUGGCCGGGCACAAUAGGACUAAGGUACGGAGCAGACUCCUACGGGAGGCAGCGGGGGGGAAUAUGACACAAUGGGCGGGAGCCAGUGACGACGACGCCGCGAGCGGAAUGACGUGCUUCUAGUGGUGAACCACUGUCGCCUGUGACGAAGCGUUAGUGACGGUAAUGAGUAAGAAAGCACCGGCUAACUACGUG